Molecule: long non-coding RNA, 2521 nt
Organism: Brassica napus (rape)
Lineage: Eukaryota; Viridiplantae; Streptophyta; Magnoliopsida; Brassicales; Brassicaceae
Exons: 4
Source: RefSeq, a predicted model, not a curated record
UUAACUCAUGCAAUGCACGUUCGUGUUCAGGACGGUCCAUCGUGACUACUCCUCAUAUACAGUAGUUGUUUUUCAACGAUUGUUUAUUUUUUUUGGUCUACGCAUUGUGGUUGUCUAUUGUCUAAUAUACACUAUGAUUAGUCUAAACUCUCCAUUAAGAUCGUUGAGAAAAAAACUCUCUUAAGAGCCCAUUAUAGGCCUAAUACUGGACAGAUAAUGACCAAACGCAGUCUAAGAUUGAUAGGCCCAACUCCGAUUUGUAAGAAAAAUAUAAACGGAUUCUAGGUUUGGUUAAAUAUUACGGACUCCGUUGGUUCAUAAGCGGUCUUGUUUUUUAGAAUUUAAUAGAUAAAACCAUUUUGAACAAAUUAAAGGUAAGAUAAUAGUGCGUUUCCUCACUCUCUCCUUUUUGUUCUUCUUCAAACUACAUAUUAUAUAAUGUGUUGCUGACAUAUGUCUUUCUAUAUCUUUUUGAUCACUCAUCUUUCUAUAUAUUUUAUAUCUUUUGAUCACUGCGUUAAGGAAACAAACAAGACUAUAAUAUAUGUAUCACUAAACACAUGGAGAAUUGAAGAGAGACCCACUUCAAUUAUAGUUGAUUUAUUUCGGGUUUUAUAUAGUGUAAUCAUUGAAUUGGAAAGUCAAAGAACAUAUACGUAUGUCUAAUCACUCAUGAUGCCGACUAAUAUGAAAUUUCAAUCAAACCAUAGCAAAAACAUGGAACAACUUUAAAAAAAUGGCAGAAGAAAAUAGACCUGUUUAAUUAAUGUACAUAUGCAUUGACAAAAUGUGACUAUUAGUUAAGUAAAUAAUGUGAUAUCAAAAAUGAUUAAAUGGCAUAAUUUUUUUUUUGCGCAGGCCACUCGGUUUAUCUUUAUCGUUAUAAUUUUAUUAUUGUCAGUAAUCUUUCUAACAGCAAAAAUGAUCGAUCGAUCAUAGGUUAUAGAAGAAGGUGAAACAUAAGAUGAGAUGUAAAUGCAAAAGCAGAGAGAGAUGGCUUUGGAAGUAAGGAACACUCUCACUUCACUCAUCGCCUCGUAAAGGAACUUUUCCUUCCCACAGAUACGCACGUGCGUCGGUGCUUCACCCAAUGCUCAUCUUCUCUUCCCCUCUCUUAAUUGCUUUCUCUUCUCUCUCACUUGCAAAUCAAACCUCACACAAAUUAUAUUCUUCUAUAAAAUGUAUGUGAUCUACUUAUAUUAGCUAUGAUCAAGUGAGUUUUGGCAAAAAAAUAUCAAGUGAGUUAGUCAUAGACUCAUGGUUAUCAUCAUUUUCUUGUUCCAAAUUUUUAUAAUCUAUGUCUACUGGACGUCUUACGUUUAACCGAGAAAGCUACAGCUCAGAUUUACUUUAUUUGGAUAUUACUAAUAAGGCAUAUAUUACACGGAAUUUCGUGAAAAUGUACAAACACAAGUAUCUGCCACAUGCAAUCACCUUGUUCCCAAGCCUUGUUCUUGUCAUUAUGCCUCUUGCCUCUCACCAUCUUCUUGCCAACCUCGGAACAAUCAUCUUUUCUCCUUUUUUUUUCUUAUAUACUUUAGCGUCUAAUUACUUAAACUUUUGUAAAAUUAUUAUACAGCCUUAAUACCAAAUAAAAAUAACAGUUUUUAAAUAUUUAAACAAGAAAACAAUAUUCAAACAGUGUGAACUGCUUAGAAAAUGGGUUUAUUGUUUGAUAAAUUAGUAAAGGACUAAAAACAAAUAUUUGACCAAAUACAAAUAAACUGACAUUCUUAGUAACAUGUUAAAGUAGGAGCCUUAGAGCAUGAUUAUCGCCGUCUUUUAAGCGUCUCUUAGUUGCUGACUAAGAUAAAAAAUAAAUGAAAAAUAAGAAUUACCUCAAAGAACGUCGCUUAAUUAAGCACAAGAACAGACGCAUCUUGUGGACACGCGUCACGUUGAUAUGGUUUUGGGAGGAGAAUACGAGGGGAAGAAAAAAUUCGACGACGAAAACUCCAGAUUUCUCCUCGAUGGAGUGGAGACAAUCUGGGUGAUCUCCUCGACAAUGAACCAAAGCGGCGGUGGCCUCCUCUCCGACGACAAAAUCAUAGGUACAGAAAACUCUUGUGUCUCGCUUCCUCUUUACGCCUCCAUAACACUCUUCUCGCUGCCACUCCUCUCAAGCCUUAACGCGUCCGUAGCAGAUGGCGAGCACUUCGUGGUCCUUAAGCUAGACCCUGAUGGCAAAAAGUUCGAUAAAGGAACAGCGAGCAGAGCUAGAAAACGAGACCUUACGUAGACAGGUACAAGAACUGAGGAGUUUUCUCCCGUCGAUCAACCAACACUAUGCUCCAUCCUACAUCAGAUGCUUCGCUAUAGAUCCCAAUACCUCACUUUUACAACACUUGCUUGGGAGACAUUAGCCACUUGUCAUGUUAUAGUAUUAGUAUAUGCAUAUGCAUUAACACUAUUAGAACUAUUAAUUUCUUACAUGUGUAAUAGUAUAUGCAUAUGCAUUUGUGUUUAAAACUGGUAUAUUCAUGCAAUUAAAAUGAAUAGUAUUUUUUUUUAAGAACCCUAA